This 672-nucleotide ribosomal RNA is filed under the name uncultured Bacilli bacterium. RNAcentral describes it as "bacterial SSU rRNA". It matches the Rfam family "Bacterial small subunit ribosomal RNA", at positions 69 to 728 of the family's 1533-position model. The record is from RNAcentral. Lineage: Bacteria; Bacillati; Bacillota; Bacilli.
GAAGGAGGAGCUUGCUUCUCUGGAUGAGUUGCGAACGGGUGAGUAACGCGUAGGUAACCUGCCUGGUAGCGGGGGAUAACUAUUGGAAACGAUAGCUAAUACCGCAUAAGAGUAGAUGUUGCAUGACAUUUACUUAAAAGGUGCAAUUGCAUCACUACCAGAUGGACCUGCGUUGUAUUAGCUAGUUGGUGGGGUAACGGCUCACCAAGGCGACGAUACAUAGCCGACCUGAGAGGGUGAUCGGCCACACUGGGACUGAGACACGGCCCAGACUCCUACGGGAGGCAGCAGUAGGGAAUCUUCGGCAAUGGACGGAAGUCUGACCGAGCAACGCCGCGUGAGUGAAGAAGGUUUUCGGAUCGUAAAGCUCUGUUGUAAGAGAAGAACGAGUGUGAGAGUGGAAAGUUCACACUGUGACGGUAUCUUACCAGAAAGGGACGGCUAACUACGUGCCAGCAGCCGCGGUAAUACGUAGGUCCCGAGCGUUGUCCGGAUUUAUUGGGCGUAAAGCGAGCGCAGGCGGUUAGAUAAGUCUGAAGUUAAAGGCUGUGGCUUAACCAUAGUACGCUUUGGAAACUGUUUAACUUGAGUGCAAGAGGGGAGAGUGGAAUUCCAUGUGUAGCGGUGAAAUGCGUAGAUAUAUGGAGGAACACCGGUGGCGAAAGCGGCUCU